ACGAACGCUGGCGGCGUGCUUAAUACAUGCAAGUCGCACGGAAAGGCCCUGCUUUUGUGGGGUGCUCGAGUGGCGAACGGGUGAGUAACACGUGAGUAACCUGCCCUUGACUUUGGGAUAACUUCAGGAAACUGGGGCUAAUACCGGAUAGGAGCUCCUGCUGCAUGGUGGGGGUUGGAAAGUUUCGGCGGUUGGGGAUGGACUCGCGGCUUAUCAGCUUGUUGGUGGGGUAGUGGCUUACCAAGGCUUUGACGGGUAGCCGGCCUGAGAGGGUGACCGGCCACAUUGGGACUGAGAUACGGCCCAGACUCCUACGGGAGGCAGCAGUGGGGAAUAUUGCACAAUGGGCGGAAGCCUGAUGCAGCAACGCCGCGUGCGGGAUGACGGCCUUCGGGUUGUAAACCGCUUUCGCCUGUGACGAAGCGUGAGUGACGGUAAUGGGUAAAGAAGCACCGGCUAACUACGUG
RNAcentral lists this ribosomal RNA (467 nucleotides) under uncultured bacterium. Its description in RNAcentral is "partial 16S ribosomal RNA". It matches the Rfam family "Bacterial small subunit ribosomal RNA", at positions 29 to 507 of the family's 1533-position model. The record is from RNAcentral.